GGCGGACGGGUGAGUAAUACUUAGGAAUCUGCCCAUUAUGGGGGACAACUCGAGGAAACUCGAGCUAAUACCGCAUACGCCCUACGGGGGAAAGCGGAGGACCUUUCGGGGCUUCGCGCUAAUGGAUGAGCCUAAGUCGGAUUAGCUUGUUGGUGAGGUAAAGGCUCACCAAGGCGACGAUCCGUAGCUGGUCUGAGAGGACGAUCAGCCACACUGGGACUGAGACACGGCCCAG
Molecule: ribosomal RNA, 235 nt
Filed under: uncultured bacterium
Lineage: Bacteria
Description: partial 16S ribosomal RNA
Rfam family: Bacterial small subunit ribosomal RNA
Source: RNAcentral